RNAcentral lists this unclassified non-coding RNA (347 nucleotides) under soil metagenome. RNAcentral describes it as "partial contains 5.8S ribosomal RNA, internal transcribed spacer 2, and large subunit ribosomal RNA". The stretch from base 1 to 120 matches the Rfam family "5.8S ribosomal RNA", at positions 35 to 154 of the family's 154-position model. The record is from RNAcentral.
GAUGAAGAACGUAGCGAAAUGCGAUAAGUAAUGCGAAUUGCAGAAUUCAGUGAAUCAUCGAGUCUUUGAACGCACAUUGCGCCCCCUGGUAUUCCGGGGGGCAUGCCUGUCCGAGCGUCAUUGCUGCCCUCAAGCACGGCUUGUGUGUUGGGCCGUCGUCCCCCUCCUAGGGGACGGGCCCGAAAGGCAGCGGCGGCACCGCGUCCGGUCCUCGAGCGUAUGGGGCUUCGUCACCCGCUCCGUAGGCCCGGCCGGCGCUUGCCGACGACCAUCAAUCUCUUUCUCCAGGUUGACCUCGGAUCAGGUAGGGAUACCCGCUGAACUUAAGCAUAUCAAUAAGCGGAGGA